This 510-nucleotide ribosomal RNA is filed under the name uncultured bacterium. RNAcentral's name for it is "partial 16S ribosomal RNA". It matches the Rfam family "Bacterial small subunit ribosomal RNA", at positions 28 to 507 of the family's 1533-position model. The record is from RNAcentral.
GACGAACGCUGGCGGCGUGCUUAACACAUGCAAGUCGAACGAAGAGCGAUGGAAGCUUGCUUCUAUCAAUCUUAGUGGCGAACGGGUGAGUAACGCGUAAUCAACCUGCCCUUCAGAGGGGGACAACAGUUGGAAACGACUGCUAAUACCGCAUACGAUCUAAUCUCGGCAUCGAGGAUAGAUGAAAGGUGGCCUCUACAUGUAAGCUAUCACUGAAGGAGGGGAUUGCGUCUGAUUAGCUAGUUGGUGGGGUGACGGCCCACCUAGGCGAUGAUCAGGAGCCGGUCGGAGAGAAUGAACGGCGGCAUUGGGACUGAGACACGCCCCAGACUCCUACGGGAGGCAGCAGUGGGGAAUCUUCCGCAAUGGACGAGAGUCUGACGGAGCAACGCCGCGUGAGUGAUGACGGCCUUCGGGUUGUAAAGCUCUGUUAAUCGGGACGAAAGGCCUUCUUGCGAAUAGUGAGAAGGAUUGACGGUACCGGAAUAGAAAGCCACGGCUAACUACGUG